RNAcentral lists this ribosomal RNA (253 nucleotides) under uncultured bacterium. RNAcentral describes it as "partial 16S ribosomal RNA". It matches the Rfam family "Bacterial small subunit ribosomal RNA", at positions 524 to 776 of the family's 1533-position model. The record is from RNAcentral.
UACGGAGGGGGCUAGCGUUGUUCGGAAUGAUUGGGCGUAAAGCGUCCGCAGGUGGCUAUGUAAGUCUGCUGUUAAAUAGUGAGGCUCAACCUCAUAAAGGCAGUGGAAACUACAAGGCUAGAGUGCGUUCGGGGCAGAGGGAAUUCCUGGUGUAGCGGUGAAAUGCGUAGAGAUCAGGAAGAACACCGGUGGCGAAAGCGCUCUGCUAGGCCGCAACUGACACUGAGGGACGAAAGCUAGGGGAGCGAAUGGG